Molecule: non-coding RNA, 3283 nt
Organism: Rattus norvegicus (Norway rat)
Lineage: Eukaryota; Metazoa; Chordata; Mammalia; Rodentia; Muridae
Source: RefSeq, a predicted model, not a curated record
UAACAAACCAGUUCUCUUCUCUUGAGUCCAGGGUGGCUCCAUUGAGAUCCCUUUUUCCUUCUACUUCCCCUGGAAUUUGGCCAAGGAUCCACAGAUGAGCAUAGCCUGGAGAUGGAAAGACUACCACGGGAAAUUCAUCUACAACUCCACUCUACCUUUCAUUCAUGAGCACUUCAAGGACGGGCUCAGCCUGAACUGGACACAGGGUCAGAUAUCUGGACUCCUCAGAAUCCUUAACUUGAAGGAGAAUGACCAGGCCACAUACUUCUGAGCACCACAGAAGAUAGGAAGAGAUGGCAGUCGAUCCCUGGGACCCAACUCUCCAUUGUCCAUGCACUCAGCACCACCAUGAGGAUCCCCUCCAUCAUCUCUUCUGUAGUCUUCACAACUGGUCUGGAGGACACAGGAGAUCAGAUGAAUCAUUCACUGCUGAAUCUGGUAGCCAUAGAUGGGAUGGUCAUGGCCAAAGUUGUGGUCACCUUCCCCAUCUGUGGAUGGAUGAUCUUUCUGUUGUGGAAGCAAAGGUAAGUGGUCCAUGACCGGCCUCAUCUGAACUUCCCACUGGGAGUGUUCUCAGCAGUGGGAGAUGGAGAGCAGCAGGCUUGGGCAGGGACCAGUAAAGAGAACAAAAAGAGGAAAAUGUGCCUGAACUCUACAAGGACUGCAUCCAUGAAGCCUGCUGUCCUUCCUGACCACCUGGAAAUUAGAGUAGCAAAUGCAGAUGAACACAGAGCCCGCUCUUAAGGAAUUCAAGGAGGCAUGCAGGAGCCUCAGGGGCUGACUGCUCCUCUGGAAAGAGCUGUGGCUGCUAAAGAAGAUCUGAGGGUAGACCAGCAUUUGCAGACACCAUGUUACAGGCAGUGAUAGCUAUAAAAAGGAACACCUCUUUUUGUUGGGCAUGUGUGACUAAAAUGGAAAGUAAUAGACCCAUAAACAGAAAGAAAUCUAUACAGAGAACCUAUCAUUACAACGAGCUAAAGAGUUGGACACUAGAAAUCUAAUCCUCCUGAGCAAAAAUAUGAAACACCUAUUGAAGGGUCUCAGUUGAAGUGAUUGCCCCACAAACAGGGACAUGAGUAUCCCAUAAACCACAUAAAGAGUUUUCAGAUACUUGGAAAGGCAGAGAAACUAUGAUUCCUGGGGCUCACUGUGCUGUAAGCCUUCCCUAGUGGGUGAGAACUAUGACUGACCUGUCUCAAAAUCCAGAGAGAACAUCUCCCGAAAGACAAUGUCAAAGUUUUCCUCUACCAUCCACAUGUGUCUGCACAUAUGCACAUAUACACAUGUUCCUGGAGAAAUACUUUAAAUGUAGUGAUUUUUGGAGAAUGGCAAAUUUUAUACAUUAAGUCCUAAUUACACACAUGCACACAAACAUACACGCAUACAGCUAAAAAUACAAUGAAGUUCCUGUUUGAAAUCCAAUUGUAUUUCUGUAAAAAUAAAUGAUUUGUCUUCAAAUUUUCAUGGUUACUCUAAGAAAUAAAAAUGGGGACACAGAGGGGGACACAAUAAUCCCAGCCCUUGCAAAAUGCAACGUGUUUCAAGGUUAUCUACAAUUGCAUGGCACCAUAGGUCACUAGGAUCCAAAGACCUUCUACACACAACACAAGACUCAAGCGUGGACUGAAGUCAUAGCGGAUUUAAAACCAUGGGACCUAGCAGACUAAAAGAUAAGGACUGAUAUGCAUAGAUGGUGGAGGGUUUACAAAUACCAUUUAACAAUGUUAAAUGUUAAGUAGAAAAACUUAGAGGAGGGAGACCAGCAGCAUAAGAGACAGCAGAAGUCUGACUUGGAUUCAUAACUUAAGGCUGAAUCUGCAGGGUGGCAGGAGACAUGGUGACGGCAGAGCAGAGAAGGCAUGAAAGUGUCAAGAGGUCAGAGCAGGGGGAAGGUGGGAAAGGGAGAUGGGACAUGGACAUGGGUCAGUGGACCAGUAGAUUUUUCCAUUGAUUUGCUGUGCUGUACAUAAGGUCAGCCGAACACUACCUUCAGGUCCUACUGAUUCUCAGACCUGUCCCCAAUGGCUGGAGCAGAGCUGUUUCUGGUCUUGGGACCCUCAUGUUGUCUAAACACGGAGAACAGCUGAAAAGCAGGACUGAGAACGAGUCUGGCUGACAUACUGACACAGUUUCUUCUCCUGCAGGCCAGCAGAGGAAAGACUAAACCCCAGACAGGGUUGCUCACAUGCUCCUGGUGAGACAUUGUCUAUUUGUCCCCAGCUAACAGACCUCCAGGUGCCAGUUUCUCUCACCAGGGAGGAGAAUUUUCAUCAAAGUAGUAAUUGGUGAACCCACAUCAGCAUCUUACACCUUCAAAUUCUUGAUCUUGGGAAUUAGAACAUGCAGGGCUCUAGGACUGUUCUUCCAAACAUUCUUGGGCAGGCAUCGCAAGAUAACCCCACUUCUGCCAUAUGGGUUCUGAUGUCCUGUCCUCAGAACUCAGAUCAUCCAGUCUGUCUUUGGUCCUGAGAGUUCAACUGUGCUGUUCUUUCUUUGCUCCUGGAGUUAAUGAUACUUUUUAGUAGAUGAGAGAUCAGAAAGUAAAGCAAACCAAGGAGCUAGUUCAGAGUAAGGCUGAGGUGUAGAUGUGUCCAAACCCUGAAAAUCUUAUCUUGACACCAGCUGAGUUAGGACAGGUCUGAGCGUUCAGGAGCAAGAAGCCUAUACCACCACCACCUCCUACACUCUUUUAGUAGGCACAGAGAAAGAUGGCUGAAUUACAGUUCUAACUUUCUCUUGGGCUCUAAGGACAGGUCCAGCAAACACAUGGAAUUUCUCUUCAUGCAAAUGAAGGUGUCCCAGAACCUAUCACACAGAAAGUUUAAUAUAACCCUUGUUACCCCAUUUUUGAGUUUGCUGCUUGGGCCUUGGAACCAUAUUUGACCUCUAGUGUCCAUAUAAAGAGGCCAGCAAAACCUUUAAUCUUAGCAAAAGAGAUAGAGGCAGGCAGAGCUCUGUGUGUGGACAGUUAGCCUGGUCUAUGUGUCUAGUUCCACACCAAACAGAGCUGUGUGAGCUGUAAUCCUAGGACUGAGGAAGUGCAGACAGGCUUGUCUGUACAGCUCACUGGGCAGUCAAUCUAGUCUCCAUGGGAAAAUUGAAGUUAGUGAGAGAGCCUGAUUCAAAAAAUGAGAAGGAUGAGACCUUAGGCUCUCCUCUAGCCUCAACAUGCAUAAACCAAUGCAUGCACACAAAGACAGAUAUAGAGAGACACAGGAACAUAGAUACACAAACAGGGAUACACACACACACACACACACACACACACACACACACACACACA